AGUUUGAUUCUGGCUCAGAUUGAACGCCAAGGGAUGCUUUACACAUGCAGCUGAAUGGCAGCACGGACUUCGGUCUGGUGGCGAGUGGCGAACGGGUGAGUAAUGUAUCGGAACGUGCCUAGUAGCGGGGGAUAACUACGCGGGAAAGCGUAGCGCAUUACCGCAUACGCCCUUCGGGGGAAAAGCGGGGACCUUCGGGCCUCGCAGCACUUAUUAGAGCGGCCGAUAUCGGAUUAGCUAGUUGGUGGGUAACGGCUCACCAAGGCGACGAUCCGUAGCUGGUUUGAGAGGACGACCAGCCACACUGGGACGGUGACACGGCCCAGACUCCUACGGGAGGCAGUGGGGAAUUUUGACAAUGGGGAACCCUGAUCCAGCCAUCCCGCGUGCGAUGAAGGCCUCGCUGUAAAGCACUUUUGGCAGGAAAGAAACGCAAGCAUUGGAUAAUACCCUGUGCAACUGACGGUACUGCAGAAUAAGCACCGGCUAAUCCGAUGCCAGCAGCCGCGGUAAUACGUAGGGUGCAAGGUUAACUGGAAUUACUGGGCGUAAAGCGUGCGCAGGCGGUUCGGAAAGAAAGAUGUGAAAUCCCAGAGCUUAACUUUGGAACUGCAUUUUUAACUACCGAGCUAGAGUGUGUCAGAGGGAGGUGGAAUUCCGCGUGUAGCAGUGAAAUGCGUAGAUAUGCGGAGGAACACCGAUGGCGAAGGCAGCCUCCUGGGGAUAACACUGACGCUCAUGCACGAAAGCGUGGGGAGCAAACAGGAUUAGAUACCCUGGUAGUCCACGACCUAAACGAUGUCAACUAGCUGUUGGGGCCUUCGGGCCUUGGUAGCGCAGCUAACGCGUGAAGUUGACCGCCUGGGAGUACGGUCGCAAGAUUAAACCUCAAAGGAAUUGACGGGGACCCGCACAAGCGGUGAUGAUGUGAUUAAUUCGAUGCAACGCGAAAAACCCGCAUCGCCCUUGACAUGUCUGGGACCCGGAAGAGAUUUGGAGGCCGCAAGAGAACCGGAAUCAGGUGCUGCAUGGGUCGUGGUCAGCUCGUGUCGUGGAGAUGUUGGGUUAAGUCCCGCAAUGAGCGCAACCUUGUCAUUAGUUGUCGAAAAUUUAAUGAGACUGCCGGCACAAGCCGGAGGUGAAGCGGUGGGGCGACGCCUGUCCUCGCACCUUUGGUGGGGCAGGGUCACAUCGCCGCUACAACGGUCGGGACGAGGGUCGCCAACCCCGCGAGGGGAGCCAAUCCUGCAGAAACCCGAUCGUUCCGGAUCGCAGUCGCAACCUGACUGCAAGCCUGGAACGCUGGCACCGUGAUCAGCACGUCGCGGUGAAUAUGCCCUGGCCUGCACACACCGCCCCGGUCACACCAUGGAGUGGGUUUACCAGAAGAAGUUAGCCUAACCGUGGUGGGGGCGAUUACCACGGUAGGAUUCAUGACUGGGGUGAAGUCGUAACAAGGCA
This 1461-nucleotide ribosomal RNA is filed under the name uncultured Bordetella sp. Its description in RNAcentral is "partial 16S-23S ribosomal RNA intergenic spacer". It matches the Rfam family "Bacterial small subunit ribosomal RNA". The record is from RNAcentral. Lineage: Bacteria; Pseudomonadati; Pseudomonadota; Betaproteobacteria; Burkholderiales; Alcaligenaceae.